GAUGAACGCUGGCGGCGUGCCUAAUACAUGCAAGUCGAGCGAACAGACGAGGAGCUUGCUCCUCUGACGUUAGCGGCGGACGGGGGAGUAACACGUGGAUAACCUACCUAUAAGACUGGGAUAACUUCGGGAAACCGGAGCUAAUACCGGAUAAUAUAUUGAACCGCAUGGUUCAAUAGUGAAAGACGGUUUUGCUGUCACUGAUAGAUGGAUCCGCGCCGCAUUAGCUAGUUGGUAAGGUAACGGCUUACCAAGGCAACGAUGCGUAGCCGACCUGAGAGUGUGAUCGUCCACACUGGAACUGAGACACGGUCCAGACUCCUACGGGAGCCAGCAGUAGGGAAUCUUCCGCAAUGGGCGAAAGCCUGACGGAGCAACGCCGCGUGAGUGAUGAAGGUCUUCGGAUCGUAAAACUCUGUUAUUAGGGAAGACCAAAUGUGUAAGUAACUAUGCACGUCUUGACGGUACCUAAUCAGAAAGCCACGGCUAACUACGUG
Molecule: ribosomal RNA, 497 nt
Filed under: uncultured bacterium
Lineage: Bacteria
Description: partial 16S ribosomal RNA
Rfam family: Bacterial small subunit ribosomal RNA
Source: RNAcentral